Molecule: long non-coding RNA, 413 nt
Organism: Phacochoerus africanus (Common warthog)
Lineage: Eukaryota; Metazoa; Chordata; Mammalia; Artiodactyla; Suidae
Exons: 3
Source: RefSeq, a predicted model, not a curated record
GCUACCCUCUCCAUGUGCCCCGUGGAGUCAGACCUGCUACAUCCACCCUUCUUUCCUGUUUCUAAGACCCCACUGGCUCCAUUGCUCAUCCUACAGUCAUUGGUCACAGCCGCCACCACGCACUGCCAGGCCGCACCCUCUGACUCCAUCCUUCCCCAGGAUAUCCCUGCAAAGUGUCCGGUACACCCACGUGAGGAGACCGAGGCUGCCCCGGGCUUGCCUCUGAGCCUGCUCCCGCCUGCACCCAUCACAACUCAGAAGAUGCACAGACAGGAGCCACAAAGGCUGGGUCUCUGCGCACUGUCCAACCCAGAAGCCACCCACCACGGGCACCUGUGACUACAGAGCAUGGGCACUGGAGCUGGUCCGAAAGGAGAUGAGCUCAAGUUCCCAGGUUAGAGGUGGAAUCGGAG